RNAcentral lists this long non-coding RNA (710 nucleotides) under Rattus norvegicus (Norway rat). Its description in RNAcentral is "long non-coding RNA NONRATT021104". The record is from RNAcentral. Lineage: Eukaryota; Metazoa; Chordata; Mammalia; Rodentia; Muridae.
UGUGCGCGCUCACUGGCCUCUUUGUGCUGACGGCUGCUGCUGCUGCUGCUGCUGCUGGGGUGCACUGUGCUUACACAGCUCCCACCCUCUGAGACCCACAGCUCCUCCUUUCUGCUCUGUUCAUCCAUCGAAUAUGCAGAGCCGUGGUGGCUGCCGGCUCGUGUCCACACUGCUGCCGUUACUGUUGCUGUAAAGCCCUCGGGUGACCACAUUGGCACCCUCCACAGCCUACUCCCCAGCAUCAACAUCCUGUCUCACUCUCCACUGCCUCGAUUCCAUUCUUAACCUCCUCCCACCUUCCCCCACUGGCUGGUUCAACGUCAGGGCAUCCCUGCCUCCCUGCUUGGCCUGCUGUGCCCGACUCCAUGGCCUCCUUGCCACAGUACCUUCGGGCUCCCUCCAUGUGUACUCUGCUGCCUGCCUGCUUCAGCUGUGCUGCCUUGCCCUACCACACCCUUGCUGCUUAGAGCACGGCCUUCCCCCCAGGCCCUUCCCUUCUCUCCAUCUUCACAGUGGCGACCUGAGUUUUUCUCUCAUCGUUUCCAUGGUGACCUCACUUGCACCAUUGUCCCUGAGACAGCCUCAGGUCAUGGUCAGCUCAGUGGGUGUCUUGGAGAUUCACCCCAUCAUUGCUGUUGGGGUUGCCUUCCUUCCUCCCUCCUGAGGAGUUACACCUGCUCCAGGGGGACCCUGUGGUGUGCUGCCUGUUC